CCCUUAGAUGUUCUGGGCUGCACGCGUGCUACACUGAGUGGAUCAGCGGGUCAGGUUGCGCGAAAGUGUUUCCUAAUCUUGAAAUCCGCUCGUGAUGGGGAUUGACGGUUGCAAUUUUCCGUCAUGAACGAGGAAUACCUUGUAAGCGCGGGUCAUCAUCCCGCGCUGAAUACGUCCCUGCCCUUUGUACACACCGCCCGUCGCUCCUACCGAUUGAGUGGUCCGGUGAGGCUUUGGGAUCUGAGCAAAAAGAGCGUUUCGCUCGUUUGGCUCGGAAAACUCAGUCGAACCUUAUCAUUUAGAGGAAGGAGAAGUCGUAACA
RNAcentral lists this ribosomal RNA (322 nucleotides) under uncultured eukaryote. RNAcentral describes it as "partial 18S ribosomal RNA". It matches the Rfam family "Eukaryotic small subunit ribosomal RNA", at positions 1470 to 1796 of the family's 1831-position model. The record is from RNAcentral.